GAAUUUCUUUUUAUUGACACUUCAAAGUGCACGACAUAAAAAUUAUAUUAGUUUCAACAGCAAAGAAUUAUAAGUCCAAUGUUAUUCGAAUUUCCAUCGUAAAUCAGCUGACUCAGUGUGCUCUUCCAGAGAAAAGAGAGAGGUAUGUAAAAUAUUCAACUCGGUAUUUGUCAAUUAAGUGAAUGCAUUUUGAGUGGUCAGACGUUGCCCCAUUCUUAAUGGGGUUCCAUUUCAUAAUAAAACAAGAAUGACAUACUUGAAAUGCAUUGAAAACAAACAAGGUAAAGUUUUUGGCAUGAAGGCGAAACCCAAACAAAUAACAAACUGCGACCCGAACUAAAGCAAAGGACACUCGUUGAAGGUCAACUGAAGGUGCCGCUCCCCCACCUACCACCCACUCCCCGCCCGCACUGCCCACCAAAAAAGAACAACAAGCCGAAUAGAAACAACAACAUGAGCUGCCAGUUGCCAUUUUGUGGGUCCUGGGGCACCUACAGCUGCCCGACCAGGUGAAAGCAAAUAAACGUGUGGCAUUUAUAUUUGUGGCAGCAAAUUUAUUUAGCAUGCAUUUUCCACGAAACCCGGGAGAGCUUGCAGUGAGAGAGAGACAGAGAGAGCCUGAUGUUGGGAAAGUGUGGCAAAUGUUGUAAAUUUUCACUGGCAUAUAAACAAACGUUGUAGAGGG
Molecule: long non-coding RNA, 685 nt
Organism: Drosophila montana
Lineage: Eukaryota; Metazoa; Arthropoda; Insecta; Diptera; Drosophilidae
Exons: 3
Source: RefSeq, a predicted model, not a curated record